CCUGCACCUUGCAUUUUGCAUCCCGUCGCCCCUUGUUAGCCCGCAGCUAGUCCCGCCUGCGCCGCGCCCACAGCUCGUUGCGCCGCCCAGCACCUUGCGGGUCCCCCCCUCUCACCGCUCCGCAUGCCUCGUCGUCUCUUGCUCACCGCUGUCCGCGCCCGUCGCCCGUUCCCACUACGAUUUUUUGACUAUUUUCUGUUUCUUUACUGGUUAAUUGUCAACUUCUUUCUCAAUAAUUUUUCCCUCUUUUUUCCUCUUUUAGCUUUUAGGGUUUUUAAUUUAGUAGAAUUCUUUUUUUUUUUUUCAUUUAUAGGUUAACAAUGUGGUAUUUUUUUUUUAAUUUUUUUUUUUUGUGCAAUAAUUUACUUCUUUGAUUGCAAUCUUGCAAUAUCUUGUUUACUGUUUUAGUAUUUGCCUUCCCUUAUGUAAAACAGAGAAGGCCAAUCUUCCCUGGUUUAAGAGGAUUUAGAGUGCUUCAGUAAAUAAUUUUUAGCAGGUUGGUUUUUGCCAGUUUGUUAAAUCUAUCUUCAAACUUGAGGCUCUUCAGUUGGAAUGUUGUUGAAGUUUGAGAAGUGUAGAUAUCAUAGUUGUCAAUAUUUGAAUUUUGAUACUUUACACUAUGCAAGAUGCAGGCCUAUAGAUAUUAAUUUAACCCUAUACUCAAUUUGAUUACUCAAUUCGAUUACCAGAAAUAACUCAAAGUAAAGCGCUUGAAAGUUGAAUCAGUGCCAAUCGUAAAUUAGAAAAAAAGUUGAGAACAUUCCUUCAGAAAUAGUCGUGGGAUCUCCUUACCUUUUAUCUUCUUUUUUUUUUUUUUUUUUUUUUUUGUGGCAAUUAGCUAAAGCCAUACUACUACUGUUAAUGGCAAGCACAAAUUCAUUAAACGUGGUCGCUCUAAAUCCACCUGCUAUGAGAAGGCCAUGAAGUAUGUCUAUUUUCUAAGCACAUUGAAGCUCAGCGCUUUGUAAAGUAUUGCUGAUGAUAUCAUAUUGCUCACAUAGAGUUAGCAUCAUCAUUCUCGAGUGAAGGUUUUGUGCUGGUAUGCGCCGUGCUGCCUAUGAACUAAAAUGUUCUUAUUGUUAGUUUGAAGGAUUCUUGUUUUUGCUCCUUGUACAUGACUCAGAAGCAAAUUCACCAAGCUAGAAUGUUGUUUUACAGCGGGUGAAUCAAAACUUCAGUAUGCUUGGCUAGAUGCUGAAAAUAUUUGUAGUUUAUGGUGAUUUUUGGGAAAAAAAAAGAUGAUGAAUUGCAUGUUCUCUUUUUUGUUUUUAAGAUGACCUUUUUUUGAAAAAAUGGUGAUAGCAGUUGAUUUCAGUACUUUGUUCUAUUUUGUAAAUGUUGACUAUAUAUGUAAUGGUGUUAUAGAAACUAUAUGUACUAGGUGAAUAUUUUGGAGAGAAAUAUGAAUAUUGUGGAUGCUAAUUACUUUUAUUGUUAAUGAAGUUUUAUUAUAAGUUUA
Molecule: long non-coding RNA, 1459 nt
Organism: Ananas comosus (pineapple)
Lineage: Eukaryota; Viridiplantae; Streptophyta; Magnoliopsida; Poales; Bromeliaceae
Exons: 5
Source: RefSeq, a predicted model, not a curated record